CUCGCUCACACGGACUGUAGCGGCACUGUCCUCUCCUCUGUUUGCAAAGUUCCGAGUCUGAAACAGAAGAUGCUUUAUUUCAGAGCAAGAAGAGUGCUGCUUGAUGGACCAGUACGAUAACAUACAUGAAAGCACUCUGGAAACUGCAAGCCUACGUGAGAACAUGGAGGAAAGUGGUGGUGAUGGCCAGCCGCCACGACUCUUAUAAAUAAGAACAGUUAACUGAAAUAAUUAAGACCGAAGAGCGGCUCCUCCCAGCAGCUAGUCUGCUUUCACUGGUCAUCAGCAGCGCUCAGUGAGUCGGAGCUGAAGGCAGUGAGUCAGGUUUCCCAUGGGAACUAGCUGGCCAUCUGGGAUUCACAGCCUUCACGUGGGGACUAUUUUCAGCUUCUGUUUUAUGGAGUCGCUGCCAGGCUGUUGCAAUUUAACACACUACCGCAGCUCACAGGGAAUUCCUUUCUGCUACCUCCGCUCUCUAAAUUCAAGACUAUGUUUGAACGAAGAACUGAUGAUAGCUGAAUAAAAAUCCCCCUACACACCAUAAUGCCUACGCGUCUAGCUUGAGCCAGUAGAUGAGGAGUGAAUACGUGCCAGGUUCUUCUGAGGGAACUAGCGACU
Peromyscus maniculatus bairdii (prairie deer mouse) is the source of this 618-nucleotide non-coding RNA. Lineage: Eukaryota; Metazoa; Chordata; Mammalia; Rodentia; Cricetidae. The record is from RefSeq and is a predicted model, not a curated record.